This 114-nucleotide ribosomal RNA is filed under the name Candidatus Woesearchaeota archaeon. The record is from RNAcentral. Lineage: Archaea; Nanobdellati; Candidatus Woesearchaeota.
UUAGACGGCCAUAGGGGGCGGGUCCCACCCGGUCUCAUUCGAACCCGGAAGUUAAACCGCCUUCCGUACCGGUGUGUACUGCUGUGAAGCGGGAAAACUGGUAAGCUGUCACCU